Molecule: long non-coding RNA, 528 nt
Organism: Rhincodon typus (whale shark)
Lineage: Eukaryota; Metazoa; Chordata; Chondrichthyes; Orectolobiformes; Rhincodontidae
Exons: 3
Source: RefSeq, a predicted model, not a curated record
GUGAUGAACGAGAGCAUAUUUGCCUAAUGUCUCCCCCUGCUGUCUGGAGGAAUGACUAGCCCAAAUCUGAGAUCAGCUGCGAGAUGCAAUUUAAUCGUACAACACCAGAAUUACAACUGUCAUGCACUUGAUGGGUUGAAUGGCCUCAUUUUUGACACAAGAACACUGAACAGCUACCUGGGGGCUCUAUGCCAAGUGUAACUGUUAAUUGGAAUUAUCAUUGGCAAGCAAAAACUGCCCAACUAUGCCAGCCUUUGGAGAAAAUAACGGAUCAGACAAUGUGCAAAAAUGGGGAUAGAAACAAAAAGGGAAGAGGAGGUAUAGCAAUGGGACCAAAAUUUUCAAAGUCAAAACCAGAACUCAAAGGUCUUGAGAAGGUAGGGCUCCAUGAUGAUUGACAUUUUGAACAACCAACAGCAGGAGUCUGGGGAAAAGGGCAGUUGAAGGAAAAUAGUUGCGGUGACAGCUUUAUUAUAUGACCGUUUAUGCCAAUUAUCAAAAGAAUAAACUGUUUAUUUCCAAACUGGC